UACGUAGGGACCAAGCGUUGUUCGGAUUUACUGGGCGUAAAGGGCGCGUAGGCGGCGUGGCAAGUCACUUGUGAAAUCUCCGGGCUUAACUCGGAACGGCCAAGUGAAACUGCCAUGCUAGAGUGCAGAAGCGGCAAUCGGAAUUCUUGGUGUAGCGGUGAAAUGCGUAGAUAUCAAGAGGAACACCUGAGGUGAAGACGGGUUGCUGGGCUGACACUGACGCUGAGGCGCGAAAGCCAGGGGAGCAAACGGG
RNAcentral lists this ribosomal RNA (253 nucleotides) under uncultured bacterium. RNAcentral's name for it is "partial 16S ribosomal RNA". It matches the Rfam family "Bacterial small subunit ribosomal RNA", at positions 524 to 776 of the family's 1533-position model. The record is from RNAcentral.